UUUUUUCUGGCGUAGACAUUGUCGCGUUAAACGUCCAAAAUCAGCAGCUUUUUGCUUGUGGGAGACGGUGCGCUAGAGCUUUUUGUAGAGUGUUCUUUUCGCCUAUCUUAUCCGCUAGAUAGAGAAGUAAUCAAUCUUCUCUGCUGAAGGUCAUUUGAACCAACAUGUACCAUUUCCAAAUGACAGGGCGAUUUCACAUCAUUCAUUUAGUUGAGUAAAUGCCUGUAAUGCGGUGCAGCUCAUCAAAAUUAUCACACAAUCACAAACCAUACUUCUUUUUCAAGGAA
Molecule: long non-coding RNA, 287 nt
Filed under: Physcomitrium patens
Lineage: Eukaryota; Viridiplantae; Streptophyta; Bryopsida; Funariales; Funariaceae
Description: long non-coding RNA (PPAT_LNC005353)
Source: RNAcentral